GUGUCAGCCGCCGCGGUAAUACGAAGGGGGCUAGCGUUGCUCGGAAUCACUGGGCGUAAAGGGCGCGUAGGCGGCCAUUCAAGUCAGAGGUGAAAGCCCAAGGCUCAACCUUGGAAUUGCCUUUGAUACUGUUUGGCUUGAGACCGGAAGAGGUUAGUGGAACUGCGAGUGUAGAGGUGAAAUUCGUAGAUAUUCGCAAGAACACCAGUGGCGAAGGCGGCUAACUGGUCCGGUUCUGACGCUGAGGCGCGAAAGCGUGGGGAGCAAACAGGAUUAGAAACCCUCGUAGUCC
This 292-nucleotide ribosomal RNA is filed under the name uncultured bacterium. RNAcentral's name for it is "partial 16S ribosomal RNA". It matches the Rfam family "Bacterial small subunit ribosomal RNA", at positions 505 to 796 of the family's 1533-position model. The record is from RNAcentral.